RNAcentral lists this non-coding RNA (159 nucleotides) under uncultured Prevotella sp. Lineage: Bacteria; Pseudomonadati; Bacteroidota; Bacteroidia; Bacteroidales; Prevotellaceae. The record is from RNAcentral.
AUCGUAUGUGCUUAAUAGGGAACCAGGUGAAAGUCCCGGACAGUCCCGCUGCUGUGAGUCGUCCUUAGGACGGAGCGAACAAUUGAGAGUCACUGGCCUUACGCUGCUGGGAAGACGUUCGCUGCCAGACGAUGAGUCAGAAGACCUGCCUGUGGUGUC